This is a non-coding RNA of Termitomyces sp. T159_Od127, 95 nucleotides long. The record is from the annotation of a GenBank genome assembly. Lineage: Eukaryota; Fungi; Basidiomycota; Agaricomycetes; Agaricales; Lyophyllaceae.
ACACCGAUGGUGAAGCGGUUAUCAUGCUUGCCUUCCAUCCGUUCAACCAAUCACGAUUGCAGCAAGCGGCAGGGGUUCGACUCCCCUUCGGUGUA